This 205-nucleotide ribosomal RNA is filed under the name Staphylococcus succinus. RNAcentral describes it as "partial 16S ribosomal RNA". It matches the Rfam family "Bacterial small subunit ribosomal RNA", at positions 327 to 523 of the family's 1533-position model. Lineage: Bacteria; Bacillati; Bacillota; Bacilli; Caryophanales; Staphylococcaceae. The record is from RNAcentral.
CGGUCCAGACUCCUACGGGAGGCAGCAGUAGGGAAUCUUCCGCGAAUGGGCGAAAGCCUGACGGAGCAACGCCGCGUGAGUGAUGAAGGUUUUCGGAUCGUAAAACUCUGUUAUUAGGGAAGAACAAAUGCGUAAGUAACUGUGCGCAUCUUGACGGUACCUAAUCAGAAAGCCACGGCUAACUACGUGCCAGCAGCCGCGGUAA